GUAAGAGUGAAAUAAAAAAUAACAUCGCACAUUACAUGCCAACAAGAAGAGAAGAAACUGGAUUUUAGAUAUAAUGUAAUCUAAACUGCUACCUGAGAAAGUGAAUAGAAGAAGGAAACAUAAUUUUUUCCAAAGAAACUUUAGAUAGCUGAAGAGAGAAUUCAUAAAAUAUGAAAUAUGAUUAAAAAUAUAGGAAGAGAAUAAGAGGAGUAAAUUAUGUUACAAUUUAUUUUAUCAUCGCUACAUUUGCAAUUGCAUUUAAUUUUAUUUGUAACCAAUUUAGUUAUAGUGUUCACAUGCAUAGUUCAGAUGAAUAAAUGAACUAAUAAAAAUAUGCAAGCAUAGAAAACAGAGGAAACAUGAAGCUAGUUACUGAAAAGGAACAAAGUUUGAAAAUCUUAGAAAUAUAUUAAUAGUAGAGGAGACAAGAAGCAAGUUACUCGUAGCCAAAAUUUGGCUCGAAGGAUUAUUUCGAGCAAAAUCCCAUCAUAUAUUUGGGCAAUUUGUAGAGUAUAGGUAUGCCAUUUAAUUGGAGAAUUCUAAGGAAUAAUAUUUUUAAGUUCUUUCCGCUGUAAAGAUAUGAGAAGUUCUGAAAACAUCAAAAUUUGCUUUACUAUCGAACAAGCCUUGCCAAUUGACAAAUGAUGUGGCAAAAUAUUAUAAAAGAACAUCAAGAGAAUAUGCAUAACAAUGUAGUGAACUUGAUGUCACGAAUAUUAAUAACCAUAAAAUUUUAUAUCUUUUAGUUUUUAUUUUUAAUAGUGUACUUUAGCCAUUAGUUUAAGCCAAUUUUUACGAUAAAAGAAGUGAGCAUGAGAAAUGUGAGGUAUUUUAUUAUCAGAAGCUCAAUCAUGCUGUAUGAGUUCAAAUAAUCUAAAUGAAGCUCUUCUUUAACAUUCUCACUAAGUGUUUUUUUUUCAAAGAAACCUAAAAGGAAAAUUACGAACUCGACAAUUUCAAGACUAAACGUAUAAUAGCCUUCAACAUUAGUAAUACAAAUGUAAUAACCACAAACAGUUUCAAAAUGCAAUUUGAGUUUGCCUUCUCUUUAUAAUAACAAAUUAAAUCUUACCCAAUAAAUUUUAGGUCAAUUAAAUAAAUUCUUCUCUAAGAAAGGAAACAAAAUAAAGUUCGAUGACUGAUGUCAAAAUUCACCAUAAAUUUAUAUAUAGAGAUAUAAAAAAAUUUCUAAGGAGCACCGGUAACCUAGCAAAUCAAUUAAUUGGUCGAUCUUUUAAUUCUUGGACUUACCAAAAUGUUAAUGUUUUCGAGAUUUAAACCAAAAUAAUAUUAAGAAGAAACUUAUUUAUCUCCACAUUCUAUAGAUAAAGUUAGGUUAGGUAAAAUCUAAUAUGUUCCGAACCAAAGUUUAGUCUGACAAUAUUUGCGAAAAUUAGCAACUGGUUUAUAGUGAAUGGAAGUCUGAUUGCCCAAACUUGAACUAAAGAUAGAAAAUCGAAGAAAAACAAAAUAUUAACUCAUAAACACGAUAAGAAGCACCUACAAAAAUUCCAGCAAUUUAGUACUAAAUUCAAAUCUGCUUAGAAUCAAUACAUGAACCUCAAACAUAGAUUCAAUGUAAAUCACAAACCAAUAAAAAAUUCCUCUUUAGAAAACUUGCUAACAUAUAAGCCUCGUGAAAUCCACCAUAAAAGAGAAGUAAAAAAUAAAAUCAAUUUAUCAAGAAAGAACUAAAAAAUCUAGCACUGUGAACUCAAUAAUCCAUUUGAAAUUCGAAAAAAAAAAUAACAAUAAUACAAUUUUAAUCACAGAAUGCAUAAAUUAAAUUUGAAAAUUAUAUACCUCUUUGUUUAACAUAUAAGCCUCCCGAAAAUUCUCCAUAAUAGAGAAGCAAAAGAUAAAAUCAAUUUAUCAAGAAAGAACUAAAAAAUCUAGCACUGUAAACUCAAUAAUCCAUUUGAAAUUCGAAAAAAAAAAACAAUAACCAAGAUAGACAAUUUUAAUCACAGAAAGCAUAAAUUAAAUUAUAAAAUUAUAUACCUCUCUCUGUUAAUAUUAACACAAAACCUAUCAAUUUCAUGAACUCAAAAUUAGAAGUGUACACAUAAAAAGAUGAAGAAAUCACAAUUAAAUGCAAAAAACCCAUUGGAAAUCACAACGAGAUGAAUUGAAAAAAGCUAGAAAAUAACCCAUUAUACCUGUCGAUUAGAAAUCACAAGAAGAUGAAGAAAACCAAUACAAUCGCAGGAUGAAGAAAUUGCAGUGUAGUCCUCUCUUUCUCAUUUGUUUUACUAUCUUGAGGAAGAAAAUGGAAAAGCAAAGAAAUUGAAGAAAUUGAAGAAAGUAGAAGAGAAUGGGAAAGCAAAAAAGAACGUAAUUUUUCCAUCACAAACGUUACUAACCACAUUAAAGCAACCCACUUCCCAACACACAGCGGGCCCACACAUG
RNAcentral lists this long non-coding RNA (2409 nucleotides) under Olea europaea subsp. europaea. The record is from RNAcentral. Lineage: Eukaryota; Viridiplantae; Streptophyta; Magnoliopsida; Lamiales; Oleaceae.